RNAcentral lists this ribosomal RNA (303 nucleotides) under uncultured bacterium. RNAcentral's name for it is "partial 16S ribosomal RNA". It matches the Rfam family "Bacterial small subunit ribosomal RNA", at positions 507 to 807 of the family's 1533-position model. The record is from RNAcentral.
AGCAGUCGCCGCGGGAAUACGGAGGGUGCAAGCGUUAAUCGGAAUUACUGGGCGUAAAGCGCACGCAGGCGGUCUGACAAGUCAGAUGUGAAAUCCCCGGGCUUAACCUGGGAACUGCAUUUGAAACUGUCAGGCUGGAGUCUUGUAGAGGGGGGUGGAAUUCCAGGUGUAGCGGUGAAAUGCGUAGAGAUCUGGAGGAAUACCGGUGGCGAAGGCGGCCCCCUGGACAAAGACUGACGCUCAGGUGCGAAAGCGUGGGGAGCAAACAGGAUUAGAGACCCCUGUAGUCCCUGUCUCUUAUAC